This is an RNA transcript of Brienomyrus brachyistius, 3355 nucleotides long. It is a transcript of the gene named tumor necrosis factor receptor superfamily member 14-like, with no coding region annotated. Lineage: Eukaryota; Metazoa; Chordata; Actinopteri; Osteoglossiformes; Mormyridae. The record is from RefSeq and is a predicted model, not a curated record. The transcript is spliced from 8 exons.
UGAUUAUCUCCCAUAGUUAUCAAACGUCAAUGUAAAGGAGCAGAAUGUAGAAGUACUUUGAAAAUGUCGUAAAGGAACUUAUACGGACAUCGUUUAUGUUUUUUAAGCGGUAUUGUACCGCAGUAAAAUAAAAACUCGGACUCGGCAUAAAAUGUUUGCAAAGCUGGUCUUGUACUUAUGUACCGAUUUUAACGUCUCAUUGCUAAAAAAAAAAUUGCAUAUAUUUGUGUACUUGUACUAUAGUCUAUUUCUUUCACGGUCUCUCCGAAUCUAACCUUUGGAAAUAUCCGUUAUACCCACUGAAGUUCAUUCCAGCUCGUCCGUGAUGCAGAACACAUUUUUUUCCUCUCACAAGCCAACUCCGGUCCGGUUUUGUCUAGAUCCAGGCCACAGUUUCCACCCUGGCACAUUCACCUGCAAUCUGUACAGGCGUUUUUGUAAUAUUGCUAUUUCAUAUAAUUAGGCAACGUCUCAAUUAACUCUAACUACUGACCUGUGAUUGGCCAAAUUACUUAUUUUCUCCUUGUUAUAACUCCUGCUAGGUCAGUUAUUGGUAUGUGGUUGUCUAAGUGUUAAUAAUAAUAAUAUUCGAUACUUUAUUAAUCCCCGUGGGGAAAUUGUCUUUAUGACUCCCUCACCUUGUGAAGGGCAGCAUCCUGUAGCGGAGCCCAGGGACCAGGGGCCUAAGGGCCUCGCUCAAGGACCCGCAGACGUGUUGAGGCUGAGAUUACCUUCUGAUUACAGGCAUACAGGCUUAGCCCACAGAGCCACACGCUGCCCCUUAAGUUACAGUCUGAGUGUGUGGUACAUGAGUGUGUGGUACAGUGUGUGAUACAUGAGUGCGUGGUACAGUGUGUGUGGUACAGUGUGUGAUACAUGAGUGUGUGGUACAGUGUGUGAUACAUGAGUGUGUGGUACAGUGUGUGGUACAUGAGUGUGUGGUACAGUGUGUGAUACAGUGUGUGGUACAGUGUGUGUGGUACAGUGUGUGAUACAUGAGUGUGUGGUACAGUGUGUGGUACAUGAGUGUGUGGUACAGUGUGUGUGUGGUACAGUGUGUGGUACAUGAGUGUGUGGUACAGUGUGUGUGGUACAGUGUGUGAUACAUGAGUGUGAGAUACAUGAGUGUGUGGUACAGUGUGUGAUACAUGAGUGUGUGAUACAUGAGUGUGUGGUACAGUGUGUGAUACAUGAGUGUGUGAUACAUGAGUGUGUGAUACAUGAGUGUGUGGUACAGUGUGUGAUACAUGAGUGUGUGGUACAGUGUGUGAUACAUGAGUCUGCUUUUACGUUUGGUUCUGGACGUUUGCCUGCAUUUGGUCCUGUUUUACCUGCCGGAUUCGGAUGUUCGCCUCUUUUUUGGAAAUUGGACUUCUCUUCCUUGACUCUUUUCCCGUUUCUGAACUGUGAUUUCUCAUGACUGGCUUCGGUCUGCUCCAACCACGAUGAAUUAUCGCUAUUAAACUUGUCCACCCUGACUUCCUACCGUGGUCUGCUAUUGAGCCCAACCUUGGCUGUGCCUGGUCCUAUGAGUAUUCCUGAGCCAGGACGGACCCAGCAGACCUCAACCACAUUAAAUUUACCUUGAAGAUAAGGAACCCUGUUUGGAAGACAGGAGUCCAGAUUGGAUACCAUUCAGCAGUCCAUGGAAUCUCUGCCACCAGUCUGAUGUUACUCGCCAUCUCAGAAUAAUGAGUUUGAAAUCAGUGGGCUGAUUGUUCAUUUGGGUGAAGGUGUAACAAUUGAUCUACAAAAAUUAAAAUUACAAUGUUUUUAUUUAAAUAUAUCCUCUCCUCUCACAUAGGGUGGCCCCUUGUUGAUGUAAGAGGUCCACAAUGCUGUGCAAUGGAAAGUGAAUCCCAGAUAUUGUCAUCUGUGAUUUAUGGUUAUUUCACAACAUGCUUAUUCUGCUUCAGACAUAUUUAAUCAUUCUUCUUCUGUGUGUUAAUUAUAAUCCCUGUUCUGCAUGCGGCCAGGCUGAAUAUAAAAUCGGUGAUGAAUGCUGUCCUAUGUGUCACCCCGGAAGUCGUGUCUACAGACAUUGUACAGCAUUGGCCAGCACUUCAUGUGUUCCAUGCCCAGAUUCUGCGUUCAGUGACCAACCUGACAGUCUUGGACAGUGCAGCCCCUGUACAGUCUGUGUUAAAGGCCUUGGUGUGAAAACAGUGACAGCAUGUACACCCUCUUCAGACACAGUGUGUGGGGUCCUGGAAGGGCACUAUUGUAUUAAUCCUUAUAAGGGAGGAUGCAGAGCAGCCAAUAAACACACAGCCUGCAAACCUGGACAGUUCAUCCAACAGCCUGGAACAGAAUACACUGAUACCGUCUGUGAGGACUGCAGUGAUAAUUCAUACUCUGAUGGCUCCUUUACCGCCUGUAAACCACACACACACUGUGAGUCCAGAGGACUUGUCACAGUCAAAGCAGGAGAUAAAGCAGCUGAUUCUGAAUGUGGAGAGAAAAGUAACAUUGCAUUGUCAGCUGGAAUAGCAGCAGCAGCAGCAGCAGCAGUAAUAAUAGGAGCAAUAUAUAGAUUAUAUAAAAAAAAGAUAUUUCCUGGUAUUCAGUGGCGGAAGAAGGUAUGUUAUUUAUUAUUUUAUUUUUGUACAUGUGUCAGAAAUUCAUGUAGUGCAAUCAGUGCUUAUAACCAGUCUGUCAUAAGACCAGACUACAUUAAUUUCAUUGUAAUAUUUUGACAGGAUCCACCCAUAGAAGGUGAAAGUAUGGUACCAAAUACAACUAAAGUAAGUCAGUGUAUUAGUAAUAAUUUCAGUAAAGUAACAGAAGGUGCAUUUAUGUAGAAGCUGAUUGAUUUCCACCCCCCUGGGUUCAGUGUAAAACAGGGUCCCAUAAGACAGUGACUGUGGAUCCUACAUUUAUGUCCAGGUGUAAGAUGACGAUGUGACAUAAACCCACAGAGGAGCCACCGGAUCCUUCUGGAUGUUUUGGCCUAAGAAAAAAAAAAUAUAUAUAUAUUUGUGUCCUUCCAUCCAUCCAUUUUCCAAACCGCUUAUCCUACUGGGUCACGGGGGGUCCAGAGCCUAUCCUGGAAGCAAUGGGCACAAGGCAGGGAACAACCCAGGAUGGGGGGGCAGCCCAUCGCAGGGCACACUCACACACCAUUCACUCUCACAUGCACACCUACGGGCAAUUUAGCAACUCCAAUUAGCCUCAGCAUGUUUCUGGACUGUGGGGGGAAACCGGAGUACCCGGAGGAAACCCCACGACGACAUGGGGAGAACAUGCAUACUCCACACACAUGUGACCCAGGUGGAGACUCAAACCCGGGUCCCAGAGGUGUGAGACAACAGUGCUAACCACUGCACCACCAUGCCGCCCCCUCACCCUAACCACU